UUUCCGUAGGUGAACCUGGGGAAGGAUCAUUAUUGUAUAACCGAGGUGCGAGGGCUGUCGCUGACCCGAAAGGUCGUGCACGCCCGAGUGCCCUCACACACAUCCAUCUCACCCCUAUGUGCACCACCGCGUGGGUCCCCCUUUGGCUUGUUCGGAGGGGGGCUUACGUUUUCACACAAACUUUGUAUGCAGUGUAGAAUGUAUUUUUUGUUUUUGCGAUCACGCAAUCAAUACAACUCUCAACAACGGAUCUCUUGGCUCUC
RNAcentral lists this unclassified non-coding RNA (263 nucleotides) under plant metagenome. RNAcentral describes it as "partial contains small subunit ribosomal RNA, internal transcribed spacer 1, and 5.8S ribosomal RNA". The record is from RNAcentral.